AUUGAACGCUGGCGGCAGGCCUAACACAUGCAAGUCGAGCGAGCGGCGGACGGGUGAGUAAUGUAUGGGGACUGCCCGAUAGAGGGGGAUAACUACUGGAAACGGUGGCUAAUACCGCAUACUAUCGGAUAACCCCUAUGUCAUUUGCUAGUAGGUGGGGUAAAGGCUCACCUAGGCGACGAUCACUAGCUGGUCUGAGAGGAUGAUCAGCCAAACUGGGACUGAGACACGGCCCAGACCCCUACGGAGGCAGCAGUGGGGAAUAUUGCACAAUGGGCGCAAGCAUGAUGCAGACAUGCCGCGUGUAUGAAGAAGGCCUUCGGGUUGUAAAGUACUUUCGGUAGCGAGGCGGGAAAUAAAGAAGAAGCACCGGCUAACUCCGUGCCAGCAGACGCGGUAAUAG
Molecule: ribosomal RNA, 403 nt
Filed under: uncultured bacterium
Lineage: Bacteria
Description: partial 16S ribosomal RNA
Rfam family: Bacterial small subunit ribosomal RNA
Source: RNAcentral